UACGAAGGGGGCUAGCGUUGCUCGGAAUCACUGGGCGUAAAGGGUGCGUAGGCGGGUCUUUAAGUCAGGGGUGAAAUCCUGGAGCUCAACUCCAGAACUGCCUUUGAUACUGAAGAUCUUGAGUUCGGGAGAGGUGAGUGGAACUGCGAGUGUAGAGGUGAAAUUCGUAGAUAUUCGCAAGAACACCAGUGGCGAAGGCGGCUCACUGGCCCGAUACUGACGCUGAGGCACGAAAGCG
Molecule: ribosomal RNA, 238 nt
Filed under: uncultured bacterium
Lineage: Bacteria
Description: partial 16S ribosomal RNA
Rfam family: Bacterial small subunit ribosomal RNA
Source: RNAcentral